AUUGAACGCUGGCGGCAGGCCUAACACAUGCAAGUCGAGCGGCUGAAGGGAGCUUGCCCCUUGAUUCAGCGGCGCACGCGUGAGUAAUGCCUAUGAAUCUGCCUGGUAGUGUGGGAGAACGUCCGGAAACGGGCGCUAUUAUCGCACACGCCCUGAGGGAGAGAGUGGGGGAUCUUCGGACCUCACGCUAUCAGAGGAUCCUAGGUCGGAUUAGCUAGUUGGUGGGGUAAAGGCCUACCAAGGCGACGAUCCGUAACUGGUCUGAGAGGAUGAUCAGUCACACUGGAACUGAGACACGGUCCAGACUCCUACGGGAGGCAGCAGUGGGGAAUAUUGGACAAUGGGCGAAAGCCUGAUCCAGCCAUGCCGCGUGUGUGAAGAAGGUCUUCGGGUUGUAAAGCACUUUAAGUUGGGAGGAAAGGCAGUAAGUUAAUACGUUGCUGUUUUGACGUUACCGGCAGAAUAAGCACCGGCUAACUACGUG
RNAcentral lists this ribosomal RNA (484 nucleotides) under uncultured bacterium. RNAcentral describes it as "partial 16S ribosomal RNA". It matches the Rfam family "Bacterial small subunit ribosomal RNA", at positions 30 to 507 of the family's 1533-position model. The record is from RNAcentral.